GGUGGCCCACGCACCUACAGAAAUACAGUCCACCGCUGAUAGUUCGAGACUACCACUGAAGCGUGCACAUUCGCCGUGUCGAGGCCAACUUUCUGACAGUAUGAUACUAUAAAUAGCCAUGGCACGUGCAAUUCUCUACAAAUCUAUCAACUAUUACAGCCGUAAAAAAAUUAUUGUUGACGAUUUUGAAUAGCAGUGAAAUUAAGCUUCUUGGUUAUUACAGCAGAUUUAGAAAUUACGUUCGUUUCAUUUUUUAAAUCGCUUUAUCAUUAACUGUACCGUUAAGAGCGGCAUCUUUUGGUUUAGUACAAAUAAUAUCUCAGAAACACUCGGGUUAGACAGGAACAUGAUACUAGCAGUAGUUUCAUUUUACUUUUACAAGCUUCUUAAAACAAUUGUUGAGCUAGCUAACGUGCUCAUUUCUAAAUUCAAUUUCUUGUUCUAGCUUUCUGUUAUGUUUCGUAAAAAAGUAGUCUUGAUUAUCCCGACCUGUCAAUCAGCCCUAGAAUGGUCGAUAGACUGGUUAAGCGAGACUAAUUUCAAAACAAGGGCACGUAACCUAUCUUUUACUCAAAAGUGUCUGGAUGUUAUGGACGACACAUGGAACCAGUUUUCAGUCUAUUAUUUAUAGAUGAUUAAUGGUCAUAGCUUAUUAAGUACAACAUGAUCGUUUAUUUAGUGACUAUAAUUGUGUGAAACUGAUUUGAGGCUUGGCAUAUAUAUAAAUAUUGUGGCGAAAUUGUCGAGAUAUAUGGAGAUAUCUAUUUAUGGCAUGACUAGAAUACUGAUGGAGCAUGACUAAAUGUGGUAGUAGAAUGACUUGAUGGUAAUGGAUUCUGAUUAGAGAUGGAUAGUAGAAUGACUUGAUGGUAAUGGACUCCGACAAGAGAUGGUAGUAGAAUGACUUUGGUAAUGGACACUGACAAGAGAUGGCAGUAGAAUGUUAAACCACAAUUGGUACUUUAUUCAAUAUUUAUGGAACUUGUUUCUACAGAACAAUCCAUAUGAGUGUAACCCAAUCUGUGAAAAGAUUGACAGGCCAAUUUAUUUGAAGUGAUCAUGUCUAUUAAAUGGGUUUCCUGCUAAUAGUAACCAAAUACUCUGAAAUUAAAAGAAAUAUUACGAUUUUUAUUUUAAUAUACUACCGGUAUGCUUUACAACCAAUACUUGAUUAUGAAAAUUGGAGGUUGUCAACUCAGUGUAAUUAGAUUCAAUUUCUAAAUGUUUACAUUAAACAAAAGUCAGGAUGACUAACUCUGGAAUAAAUGAUUUAAUCACAUAUUAUGAUCUCAAUCAACAGAACACUUCUACAGGGUUCCCGCGGCUUCGUCAAACAUUUUUUCAAGGAUAAAUAUACGUCAAAUUCAAGGAUUUUCAAGGACUUUUUUUAGCUUAAAGUUACAAUUUUUCAUCUUAAAAAUAACCAAAACAUUACCAACUAUCGUUAUAAUCUCAUAUUUAAAAGGAAUUGAAGACAUUUGAAACAAAAUUAAGGAUCUCAACUGAAAUUCAAGGAUAUUUUCCUAUUUCCGCGAAAUUCAAGGAUAUUCAAGACCUUGAAAAUGAAAUUUUAAAUUUAAGGAUAUUUAAGGACCGCAGGCACCCUGUUCUCCGGUGGCUGAUUUAGGACACGCAAAAAAUAAUAAUAUCUCAAGUACUCAAGAUACUAAGUCGAGAGCUCGAGAUACUAAGACAAGUGCUUGAGAUACUAAGUCGAGCGCUUGAGAUAAUUAAGUCAAGCGCUGGAGAUACUAAGUCCAGCACUUGAGAUAAUACAAUCGAACAUGUCUCAGCCGAUGUUUUAAGCUGUAAAAUAAUAUCUCGAGCAUUCGAGAUAUAUUUUUUUUUUUUGCAUGUCCUAAAUCAGCCACCUACACUUCACUAGAAUCUUCGUAAGAAUCUUUCAUGAACUUACAGCAUUGUGGAUGGUUACAUCCUGGUCUUACUAACUGUUGCCUGUUUGCUCAGCCUCUCCCAAGGUUUAAAGUCUCUAUUAUACAUAUACUUUCUGGAAUAAAAAAUAAUAUAAAUCAA
Molecule: long non-coding RNA, 2034 nt
Organism: Patella vulgata (common limpet)
Lineage: Eukaryota; Metazoa; Mollusca; Gastropoda; Patellidae
Exons: 2
Source: RefSeq, a predicted model, not a curated record